Long non-coding RNA from Anneissia japonica, 275 nucleotides. RefSeq lists it as uncharacterized. The record is from RefSeq and is a predicted model, not a curated record. NCBI's taxonomy places the organism in Eukaryota, Metazoa, Echinodermata, Crinoidea, Comatulida, Comatulidae. The transcript is spliced from 3 exons.
CUGCGGCAGUGUCGAUAGCCACUACCGUGGUCGGCUAGCCAGACACAAACGACAUUGCCUGCAGCCAGGCCCAGAUCAGGUUGAUCAGAGACACACAAAAUGCCUGGAAAACUGAAGGUUCGAAUAAUAGCUGCCCGAGACCUGCCCAUUAUGGACAGAGCCAGUGACUUAGCUGAUGCAUUUGUUGAGGUUAAGUUUGGUCAGGACAUUCACAAAACAGAGGUGUGCCGGAAAUCCUUAAAUCCUCAGUGGAAUACAGAUUGGUAUAAAUUUGA